UACGUAGGGUGCGAGCGUUGUCCGGAUUUAUUGGGCGUAAAGAGCUUGUAGGCGGCUCGUCGCGUCGGGUGUAAAAACUUGCGGCUUAACCGCAAGCCUGCACCCGAUACGGGCGGGCUAGAGUUCGGCAGGGGAGACUGGAAUUCCUGGUGUAGCGGUGGAAUGCGCAGAUAUCAGGAGGAACACCGGUGGCGAAGGCGGGUCUCUGGGCCGUAACUGACGCUGAGGAGCGAAAGCAUGGGGAGCGAACAGG
RNAcentral lists this ribosomal RNA (253 nucleotides) under uncultured bacterium. Its description in RNAcentral is "partial 16S ribosomal RNA". It matches the Rfam family "Bacterial small subunit ribosomal RNA", at positions 524 to 776 of the family's 1533-position model. The record is from RNAcentral.